Molecule: ribosomal RNA, 456 nt
Filed under: uncultured bacterium
Lineage: Bacteria
Description: bacterial SSU rRNA
Rfam family: Bacterial small subunit ribosomal RNA
Source: RNAcentral
ACUCCUACGGAGGCGAGCAGUGGGAUAUUGGCACAAUGGCGCAAGGCCUGACUGCAGCCAUGCCGCGUGUGUGAAGAAGGCCUUCGGGUUGUAAAGCACUUUCAGUCGUGAGGAAGGUAGUGUAGUUAAUAGCUGCAUUAUUUGACGUUAGCGACAGAAGAAGCACCGGCUAACUCCGUGCCAGCAGCCGCGGUAAUACGGAGGGUGCGAGCGUUAAUCGGAAUUACUGGGCGUAAACGCGCAUGCAGGUGGUUUGUUAAGUCAGAUGUGAAAGCCCGGGGCUCAACCUCGGAAUUGCAUUUGAAACUGGCAGACUAGAGUACUGUAGAGGGGGGUAGAAUUCAGGUGUAGCGGUGAAAUGCGUAGAGAUCUGAAGGAAUACCGGUGGCGAAGGCGGCCCCCUGGACAGAUACUGACACUCAGAUGCGAAAGCGUGGGAGCAAACAGGAUUAGAUA